UGCCCGGUGGUGAAAUGGGUAUUCACACCGGCCUUUGGAGCCGAGGUUCCUGGUUCGAAUCCAGGCCGGGCAA
Molecule: transfer RNA, 73 nt
Filed under: Candidatus Omnitrophota bacterium
Lineage: Bacteria; Pseudomonadati; Candidatus Omnitrophota
Description: Candidatus Omnitrophica bacterium tRNA-Gln
Rfam family: tRNA
About the family: Transfer RNA (tRNA) molecules are approximately 80 nucleotides in length.
Source: RNAcentral